AUGAUGGAAGGAUCAGCGAAUGACAUCACGAACUUUAAGUUCCUCCUGCUCUGCUUUCAGCAGAUGUCUGACCUCAGGAUCAACUUUGAUAAGAGUACGGUCAUGGUCUUGGGAUACCCCCAAGACGAGCGACAGAGCAUCGCGGACUGCCUCAACUGCCAGCUCGGGAGCUUCCCUUCGACUUAUUUGGGGAUCCCCAUUAGCGACACGAGGCUCAUGGUGGCCGAGCUGCGCCCCACGAUGGGGUAGCUUCAGCACCGCAUUGAACCUUGGCAGAGCCUAUGGCUCUCUAAGGCUGCCCGGACUGUGCUCAUUAACUCGUCCCUUUCCAGCCUGCUCCUAUUCAUUAUGAACUUAUACAGCCUGCCUGAGACUCUGCAGCAUGAGAUUGCCACAGUUCAGGGGCGCUUCUUCUCGGCUGGCAAGGGUGAUAAGCAGAACUUCGGUGGUCGGAGAUCUGUAAACCUCGCGAUCAGGGCGGACUCGGGAUCAUGUCCUCCAAACGCAUGA
This 510-nucleotide ribosomal RNA is filed under the name Triticum aestivum (bread wheat). RNAcentral describes it as "partial small subunit ribosomal RNA". Lineage: Eukaryota; Viridiplantae; Streptophyta; Magnoliopsida; Poales; Poaceae. The record is from RNAcentral.